AGAGGAGCUUGCUCCUUGGGUGACGAGUGGCGGACGGGUGAGUAAUGUCUGGGAAACUGCCCGAUGGAGGGGGAUAACUACUGGAAACGGUAGCUAAUACCGCAUAACGUCGCAAGACCAAAGAGGGGGACCUUCGGGCCUCUUGCCAUCGGAUGUGCCCAGAUGGGAUUAGCUAGUAGGUGGGGUAACGGCUCACCUAGGCGACGAUCCCUAGCUGGUCUGAGAGGAUGACCAGCCACACUGGAACUGAGACACGGUCCAGACUCCUACGGGAGGCAGCAGUGGGGAAUAUUGCACAAUGGGCGCAAGCCUGAUGCAGCCAUGCCGCGUGUAUGAAGAAGGCCUUCGGGUUGUAAAGUACUUUCAGCGAGGAGGAAGGUGUUGUGGUUAAUAACCACAGCAAUUGACGUUACUCGCAGAAGAAGCACCGGCUAACUCCGUGCCAGCAGCCGCGGUAAUACGGAGGGUGCAAGCGUUAAUCGGAAUUACUGGGCGUAAAGCGCACGCAGGCGGUCUGUCAAGUCGGAUGUGAAAUCCCCGGGCUCAACCUGGGAACUGCAUCCGAAACUGGCAGGCUAGAGUCUUGUA
RNAcentral lists this ribosomal RNA (588 nucleotides) under Citrobacter sp. RNAcentral's name for it is "bacterial SSU rRNA". It matches the Rfam family "Bacterial small subunit ribosomal RNA", at positions 72 to 653 of the family's 1533-position model. Lineage: Bacteria; Pseudomonadati; Pseudomonadota; Gammaproteobacteria; Enterobacterales; Enterobacteriaceae. The record is from RNAcentral.